This is a long non-coding RNA of Vidua chalybeata, 449 nucleotides long. RefSeq lists it as uncharacterized. The record is from RefSeq and is a predicted model, not a curated record. The transcript is spliced from 2 exons. NCBI's taxonomy places the organism in Eukaryota, Metazoa, Chordata, Aves, Passeriformes, Viduidae.
AGUGGGAGCAGGGAGCAGCAUUGGAUACAAAGGAAGAAACUGAGAGAGGCAAGGGACAACAGGGUGCUGUCAGAGGAGAGAGUGACAGACUCACUGUUGCUGACACAAAUGUCAGGAAGGGAUGAGGAACACUGACUUGUCCUGCCACUCCCUCAGGUCUUGCCUUGCAGAGCAUAAAAAAGAGGGGGGGAAAAAGCUUGAUAAUCAGCCUGAAAAGACCUAUUGAAAAAAUUAUGCAGCAUUUAGCUCGAUGUCUAGCAGAGAGGAAAGCUCAGAGCCUCAGGUAAUCCUGCAAACCUCCUGCAGGAAAAGUGUGACAGGAGAGAGACCUCCAUGGCCACCUACUCUUUUGGAACUAGAGCCACAGCAAGUUGGCAGCAUUCCAGCCUAGACUUUUUGCAAUUUAUUCCUGGGAUAAGGAAGAACAAAUAAAAGCUGUUUGUCUGCUG